Molecule: long non-coding RNA, 278 nt
Organism: Magallana angulata
Lineage: Eukaryota; Metazoa; Mollusca; Bivalvia; Ostreida; Ostreidae
Exons: 2
Source: RefSeq, a predicted model, not a curated record
ACAAGCUUUUUAAUUGCGGGACAGGAAACGGACGACCGGAAAUGAAUUUUUAAAAAAUGAAAAAAUCAUUCCUACACUUUAUCAUUCUCUAUUAUUCCUGAAAAUUUCAAGAAAAUCUAUCCAGUCAUCUCUGAGAAAAUCGGGGAAAAAAAUAAUAAUAAUAAUAAUAAUAAUAAAAAGAAACAUUACAAUCACUAUAAGGUCUUCCGUUGGAAACGGAAGACCUUAAAAACCUUACAAUCACUAUAAGGUCUUCCGUUGGAAACGGAAGACCUUAA